UGAGGUAACCUUAAGGAGCCAGCCGUCGAAGGUGGGGGCGAUGAUUGGGGUGAAGUCGUAACAAGGUAGCCGUAUCGGAAGGUGCGGCUGGAUCACCUCCUUUCUAGGGAA
RNAcentral lists this ribosomal RNA (111 nucleotides) under Megasphaera sp. ASD88. RNAcentral describes it as "partial 16S ribosomal RNA". It matches the Rfam family "Bacterial small subunit ribosomal RNA", at positions 1431 to 1533 of the family's 1533-position model. Lineage: Bacteria; Bacillati; Bacillota; Negativicutes; Veillonellales; Veillonellaceae. The record is from RNAcentral.